Molecule: long non-coding RNA, 567 nt
Organism: Heterocephalus glaber (naked mole-rat)
Lineage: Eukaryota; Metazoa; Chordata; Mammalia; Rodentia; Bathyergidae
Source: Ensembl
CCUUAAUUCAUUUAGACUCUUUCCCAAAGUGUAGUCUUUGGCACUACCGCCGCUGCAAAGGGAUUUUAGGUGGUACCAACGACCUGCUUUACGUCACCGCGGCUGCUGUAAGGAGGCUCGGCCGUAGAGGAGACCAAGCACAGACAGAGGGAGUUACUUAUGGAGGUCACGCUGGUUAAGCAGCACAGCGUCACUGUCUUGCACCACGUUGGUUACAGUGCAGCUGGUUGUGUGGGCCGUUUGGUCAUCUGAGCUGGACUCUGGAACAAGCUCUGCAACACUUACUCCUGUAUUCAUGGAUGGCUGCGGGCUGUAGGCGGUUGUGCUGGUCUUGUCAGGGCCCUCUCAUGUGCCUGGGGCCUUAGCUCUUUUGAAUUGGAUUUCUACCCCUGAUUGACUGGGGGAUUUGCAGAGGUGAUGACAUUAAAGCUGAGUGCAAUUUAAUUUGAAAAAAUAGGAAAAGGAGUUGGAUGAAGGAAGAAGAAAUGAGGUACUAAGGGGUCACACUGGAUGGAACAAAUUUAGCUCCCUGCCUUCAUGCAGCUCAUCGCCUAGGAGGUGAAGACA